AUGGCCACAAAUAUCCGGCGCACGGCUUUGCGGCCGGACAAGGUGCCCUUCCCUUUGACUGCAGGACCGCGUACAUGCCCCCAAAGUCCCAAUGUCAGGACCACAUUUAAUGGCCGAGCUCACGUGACGCAGAAAUACAGCAACGCAGUCCCAUGUUCAAGUCAACGAACCCAAGCUCUUUAUUUACUCAAAACGACGAACGAGACAAGAACAAGAUCCAAAACAGAGGCACAUCAAGAACGUCCAUGGAUCUUGAAUCCAAGAAGCUUCUUGUUGACUAGACUAGACAUGUUUGAACCCAAGAAGCUUCUUGCACGCCUUGAAGAUGUGACCCCUCUUCUUCUUCUUCGUCUCCUUGCCGAUCUCGUCGUUGCUCGCCGCGGCGUCUCCCGGCACCGCGGCCUCCGCCACCUGAUGCUUCUUCUGCCCGUCGACCUCCUCGGGCGCCUCGGCGUCGUCGUCGCCGUCGUCCAGGCCGUCGUGGAUCCGCCAGUACCCCUCCGAGAGGCCGGACGCCGGCUGCCUCCGCAUGGAGAAGGCCCUCCUCACGGCCGCCUGGAAGCCGCCGCCGCGGUGGGCGCCGGUGGACUUGCUCCGCUCCACGGACGCGAACCUCUGGGAGGAGGACGAGAGGUUCCUGACGAUGGCCGCCGCGCCGACCGCCGCCCCCUCCCACUUGCCCUCCUUCGCCGCGGCCGGGGACGGGGCUGGCUGCGGCUCCCCGCCGCCGCUGGGCGCCGGAGGGGACGAGGCGAGGUUGCGGUACCCGUUCAUCCUCCCGCUUCAGUUUCCGCUGCUGCUGCUGCCGCUGCCGCUACGAGUGUACUGAUCUGCGGGCGUGGGGCUUGUGGCGAGGAGGUUCUCAGGUCCGGGAUUUGUACUCGCGUGCGCGGUGGAGUGGAUGCGGCGCGUGCGCGGUGCUCGUCACUCGUCAGCAGCAGCACCGCGGCAGUGGAGAAUGAGAACGGAGGGCGUAGUGCUGUGAGUGUGAGAUCAGCCCCGCCGGCCUUGUCGCGGUGCUGUGUUGGGUUGGGUUUGGGGCGAGCCGUUUCGGUGGGUUGGGGCCCCGCGGGAGCGUCCAAUUUGACCGCCGCGUGGGCUCCGGCCACGGGGUUUCGUGACGCCAAUUCGUAUCCAGGGGAAUUGCUGCGCUACAAUCUAGUGCAUAUGGAUUCUUUGUCGCCUUGA
This 1188-nucleotide ribosomal RNA is filed under the name Triticum aestivum (bread wheat). Its description in RNAcentral is "partial small subunit ribosomal RNA". The record is from RNAcentral. Lineage: Eukaryota; Viridiplantae; Streptophyta; Magnoliopsida; Poales; Poaceae.